ACUGUGAAAGGGACACUCGCUUGAUUAGAAAUCGUCUCAAAUUCCUACACUCGCAGAGCAGCCCGCUCUUUUAAUUUUUAACUUCGUGGGAAGUUGGGAGCCAGAGUCUGUUUUCAUGGCCCAACACUCUGCCCCGGAAGAACAGCUAGAGCUGGUGCCACUCCCAGGAGGAGCCCCAGUACCUGCGGAGAAAUCCACUAGACAAACACCUGUCCGGGGAGCCACACUGGAGCCACCUCACCUCUGGCAGGCCUUUGGACUCAGGCUGGAACUUACGCCAUCAGACCUUCAGGCUUGGACUCGGAACACGGCACCAGCUCUCCUGGGUCUUCACCUUGCAGACGGCAGAACCCACCAUGGGACUUCUCAGCCUCCAUAAUCAUAAUUCUCAUUUUAGGCAUGUCAGCGUGGCUUGACACAUCACAGGUAUGCAUGGCUGAGAACCGAUCACAUUGUCCUUUUUUGGCAAUCAGUACUUACACGAGAGCUCACAGCUGCUUGGUAAAUGAAACGCCCUGGGUGUUAGUGUUGGCUCUUUCUUGCUAAGGAUGAGUGUUAAAUUUACUUUGACUUCAGAUAUGAACGUCCAUCAUACAAACCAUUAUGGGUUGAAUUGUAUCUCCCAAGAAAGGUAUGUUGAAGUCCUCACCUGCAGGACCUCAGAAUGUGACCUGAUUUGGGGACAGGGUCUUCACAGAGCAGUCAAGUUCCAAUGAGGCCAUUGGGGUGGGCAUUUAUCCAAUAUGACGGGUGACCUUAUAAAAAGGAGGAAUUUGGACACAGAGACAGAUAGAAGCAAGGCAAAGUGGAAAGACACAGGGAGAAGGCCUCGUGAAGAAAGAGGCAGCGACUGAAAUUGUGCUGCCAUAAACCAAGAACAUCUGGGGUACCAGACGCUGGAAGAGGCAGGAAGGGUCCUCCCUACAUGUUUCAGAGGGAGCAGGGCCCUGCCAACACCUUGAUUUCUUACUGGCCUCCGGAACUGUGAGGCAAUGACCUGCCUAAGGCACUCAGCCCUGAGACACCAAGACACCAGUGUUGGCUGAACUUACUACUUCCACCAGCCACUGAAAAUGCCGCCAUCCUAUUAACCUUUGCUGCUCCCAUAUCUCUCGGGUCCCCACUCUGUUUUAUUCACCUGGUGUAUUUGCUUCAAAACUGCAGUCAGAGUCAGUGGGUUGUUUGGGGUUCUUACAAUAAACCAUGGAGAUCUGUAUUUAAUAUUACCCUGGACUGACUUAAUAUUACCGUCACUUCCCUUCUUUGUUUAAGUAUCUGUUCAUUUUGUGGAUUCUCCUGGCCAGGACCUGCUGGCUGACCAUGCAGGGGUGUCUACUUUCCCCAUUUGCUGUGCUCUUGUCAUUCCACGGACCGCAUUGGCUAUUUCUCGCUGCUAACGAAAUGUACCUUUGAGGUCUUUGUCUUCUGAAUUCAGGGACGACAAUGUGUUCGUCUUUGUAUCCCCAACAAGGCUUGAUACAGUGUCGCGCAAAGCAGGCCUCAUGAGAAGCUACUGGCAAGCCCCCACAUCCAUUUUCCCAUAUUCUAAUACCCCCAAAUCCUCUGCAGCUAAGCAUGGCUGCGUGCCUGGAUUCUGAUCAACGGGACAUGCGCGACUAGGUCCUGCCUGUAAAGAGAGGUCUGUUCUCCUCUGGCCCUUGCGCGCCUUCCUACUGGCUACAAGUGGCAAUGAGCCACCAUAAGCCACACCCACAGGUGGCAGAGCGAGCAGAUAGAAGGAACCUAAGCCCUCAAACUUCUCUCAAGUGCAGGCUUGGAGGACGUGCAGGCUUUUGC
Long non-coding RNA from Hipposideros armiger (great roundleaf bat), 1797 nucleotides. RefSeq lists it as uncharacterized. The transcript has 3 exons. Lineage: Eukaryota; Metazoa; Chordata; Mammalia; Chiroptera; Hipposideridae. The record is from RefSeq and is a predicted model, not a curated record.